CAACCUCAACUCAUAUGGGACUACCCCCUGAAUUUAAGCAUAUUAAUUAGGGGAGGAAAAGAAACUAACCAGGAUUUUCUUAGUAGCGGCGAGCGAAAAGAAAUCAGUUCAGCACUAAGUCACUUUGUCUAUAUGGCAAAUGUGAGAUGCAGUGUAUGGAGCGUCAAUAUUCUAGUAUGAGAAAUUAACGAUUUAAGUCCUUCUUAAAUGAGGCCAUUUACCCAUAGAGGGUGCCAGGCCCGUAUAACGUUAAUGAUUACUAGAUGAUGUUUCCAAAGAGUCGUGUUGCUUGAUAGUGCAGCACUAAGUGGGUGGUAAACUCCAUCUAAAACUAAAUAUAACCAUGA
RNAcentral lists this ribosomal RNA (347 nucleotides) under Drosophila guanche. RNAcentral describes it as "eukaryotic LSU rRNA". It matches the Rfam family "Eukaryotic large subunit ribosomal RNA", at positions 1 to 331 of the family's 3401-position model. The record is from RNAcentral. Lineage: Eukaryota; Metazoa; Arthropoda; Insecta; Diptera; Drosophilidae.